UAGGGAAUCUUCGGCAAUGGACGGAAGUCUGACCGAGCAACGCCGCGUGAGUGAAGAAGGUUUUCGGAUCGUAAAGCUCUGUUGUAAGAGAAGAACGAGUGUGAGAGUGGAAAGUUCACACUGUGACGGUAUCUUACCAGAAAGGGACGGCUAACUACGUGCCAGCAGCCGCGGUAAUACGUAGGUCCCGAGCGUUGUCCGGAUUUAUUGGGCGUAAAGCGAGCGCAGGCGGUUUGAUAAGUCUGAAGUUAAAGGCUGUGGCUCAACCAUAGUUCGCUUUGGAAACUGUCAAACUUGAGUGCAGAAGGGGAGAGUGGAAUUCCAUGUGUAGCGGCGAAAUGCGUAGAUAUAUGGAGGAACACCGGUGGCGAAAGCGGCUCUCUGGUCUGUAACUGACGCUGAGGCUCGAAAGCGUGGGGAGCGAACAGGAUUAGAUACCCUGGUAGUCCACGCCGUAACGAUGAGUGCUAGGUGUUGGAUCCUUUCCGGGAUUCAGUGCCGCAGCUAACGCAUUAAGCACUCCGCCUGGGGAGUACGACCGCAAGGUUG
This 549-nucleotide ribosomal RNA is filed under the name uncultured bacterium. RNAcentral describes it as "bacterial SSU rRNA". It matches the Rfam family "Bacterial small subunit ribosomal RNA", at positions 355 to 896 of the family's 1533-position model. The record is from RNAcentral.